Molecule: long non-coding RNA, 3282 nt
Organism: Myxocyprinus asiaticus (Chinese sucker)
Lineage: Eukaryota; Metazoa; Chordata; Actinopteri; Cypriniformes; Catostomidae
Exons: 4
Source: RefSeq, a predicted model, not a curated record
AGUCUGCAUCAGAGAAUUACAGUUAAAGAGGAGAGGCUCAAGGAAGAACUUCUAAAACAAAAGGUUGGUUUGUUAGUAGAACUUUUUUAUUAUUAUUAUUAUUUUUAUUAAUAUGUUUUCUUUACAAUGUACUCUAUAUGCAAUAAUAUUUUUUUGGUAGGUUAAUGUCAUUAGAAGGUUAUGCAAAGAAUGUGGUUUGAAGUCCACUGGAUCUCGCAAUGACCUCCUCGUCAGAUUGUCUAAUGAAUUUUAAUCCAGGCAGACAUAUGACAAAAUCUUUAAAAAAAUCUGGGGUGCCUCUGGUGAUCUUAAUUUCUAAUACUGUUUUGCUUGGUAUUGCCAAAAUAUGAUAUUUGAUAUUGUGGUCAAUAUAUUUCCAAUAUGUGAACCCUUUUUGGAAUGUUGUGUUUUUUUUUUAUUAUUGAAUGUUAUUUUUUAAAGUCUUGAAUCUUCUGUCUUUUUCCAUCCUGUAUUAGGAGGCUGGGGAGUGAUCAUAUGCCCAUGUUUACAGUCUAAAAUGCAGUCUUCGAGCUGAGAGCCCUCAAGACUUUGCUGACUUAUUGUUAUCAUGGAAACAUAUGCCUAACUUCAUAAUUUAUGACUUUGCAUGGGGUCUUGCAACACAUACCAAUCUAAGGGCACCAGAAAACAUUCCCAAUUGUCCAUAUGAAGGACUCUUAGUGGAACCCACUGAAGCAAACAUAGAACUGGCCAAGUCUGGGUAAUUGAAAGUGUCUGUGUUGGCUGGAUGAAAAAAAGAGAGUGAGAGAUCCUCAUGGACACCCAGUGACAGGUUCUUCUGAUCAUUACAUAUUGUCUGACCGUUUUCAUGAGGGCAAUACCAAAGACAGUAGAGAUGUUCUGAGGAAGCUUACCAUAGUUCCUCAGCUAGCUGGCAAAGUAAAUAGCCAGUAGAGCCGACCGAUAUGGAAUUUUUGAGACCGAUACCGAUUUUAGAGGGGAAAAUUCACCGAUUGCCAAUAUGGUGGCCGAUAUAGUUAAUUUUUGAACUGGAAUGGACAUUUUCUAUGUGGAUUGUGCACUGAUUUUGCACCGAUAUGACUAUGCAAAGGUAUUCAGAAGGCUGCUUUCUUAAACAAAUAUUUUUAUCAAAGAAUAUUUGACAUUAUUAUUAUACAUUGUCAACAAAUUCUAGAAAUGAACACUGAGAAAAUAAAUCAAAAUACAAUAAAUAGCUAAAUAAACAUCAGUACUGUAUGUUUAGUACCAGUCAAUGGCUGACCAUUUAAAUAAAGUGUAAAUUAAAAUUAUCGCUAAAUAAAAAUCAGUACUGUAUGUUUAGUAUCAGUCAAUGGCUGACCAUUAAAAUAAAGAAUAAAUAUAAAUAAAAUAAAUAGCUAAAUAAACAUCAGUAGUACUGUUUAGUAUCAGUCAAAUGCUGAUUAUUUUAAUACUGCCAGUCAAUUAGGGGCAGGUUGUAAAACAAGAAGCAUUUACACCUGCCGAUUCAAGAGAUAAAGAGCGGCAGCAGUGUUACACCGUAUUCUGCCAUACAAGUUCAGGGGAAACAUUCAACGGUGGAAAACCAGACUUUUAAAUAUUACAUUUUAUAAAUGCAAUGACUGGAAUUGUUCAGUUGAAUGGAGUACCAAACUGCGAAUCCUGAACAAAACAGUUUGGUGAAUACAUGUUUACACAUUAGCUUCCACUCAGCUGACAAGCAAUGAAAGUAGCUGCAUGAUUAGCUAGUUAGCUAUAAGCUCGUUGUCACGGAGAGUAAAAGAUGGAUGUUGUUUAUUUACUUUCUAGUAUUGUGUCAUACCAACUAGGUAACAAUGUAGCGUGAAAUCAACACUCAACAGACACAAUCCACCACCGCACCGUUGUCUGCUGAGCUGCAAAAAGAUGCUCUGACAAACUAUAGCUGGCUAACAUAGCAAACAGAUGUGAUAAACAUGAGUGACAUGGUUGUCAGGGACAGGGUUAACAUUAUAUUGAAAAGGGAAAAUUAUGGGGUCAUUGUUUAUUAACAUUCCAAUAUGUAUUUCACAAACUAGUUAGCAACUUACUGUGAAGACACCACUUAACUCCACACCGCUUAACUCCACACUGUUUGUAGAACCACCAUCAGCAGAACCACGUCAGCUCAGCUCUGUAAACAGUGGAGUCAGAGCUCGCUCUGCUGGACAAAAUACGUUAUGACACCAGUUCUAAAGCAUUGUUUUCUGCUUUAUAAUUUAUGUUCUGAAAAAAAGUUCUUAUCUGUGCAUAUCGGUAAACAUAUACGCUGAUACCGAUAUAUCUGUGAAAGGCUAAUAAUGGCCGAUAAUAUUGGCCGACCGAUUUAGCCAGGUUGCAGAGCAACUGUUCUCAAAGUUGAGGAAAAACAACUCUUUUUUUGAACAUGUCUCUGCCAUCAAAACAUCUGUUUCAAAUGAGGACCAUAAUUCACCACUAUAAUGAAAACAAGAACAAUGAAAUGGUGUCACAUCAAACACCUGUCUGCCAGUAGAGUGUGCUGGGAUUGUCUGCCAAGUCAUAGGCAAUCAGCAAUGGUACAUGAACGACAGUUUUCAUUUUUAUGUUUUAUUUAAUGUCUCAAUAGCACAUAAUGUGCCUUAUGAAUCGAACCAAAAUAUUAUUAUUUAUUUAUUUAUUUUUUGCUUCUCUUAUCUGUCUUUAAGCUUGACUGGGUCCUUGAGUACAGACAAUCCAGAUGAGACUAUUGCUGAAGUUGACAACAUUCUCCUGAAAAGGAAAGAUUUCUGGACUCUGGGUCUCAAUGAGCAGUUGGAGGCAACAUAAGAUGACAGCUAAAAUUGCACCUGGCACAUGGAUGCUACUGAAAAACAAGCUCAGAAACCCUUCAGGAGGCACUUCCAAGUGGAGAACAAGCUACGCCCAGCAGCAAUGAGGAGCUCCCAGUAAUACUAGACAUAAAAACAGCUGUGAAAUGGCUCCAUGCAAACAAACAACUGUUCAGGGGCUCAGUGGAAGAGCCUCUUUUCCUAAAGAUGGAUGAAGAGGACAAGGAAAAGGCCCUCCACAAACUUCUAGAACAAUCAGAACUUUCCAGAGAGCCCUUUACAUUUAAUUUCCUUUUCAGGGAUGACAUGGAGUUCUUUCUGUAGGAAUGCCAUGAUAAAACGGGCCUAAGAGUCAUUUGUUCUUUUGAUAAGUUUUAAGUUGAUUAUUUGUUGUAUAAAGUUUGAGUGUUUCUGUUAAAAUUAUGCUGAUGUUUACAAGUUUUAUUAUUAUUAUUUUAGUUCUAUUUUCUUAUUAUUGAAAUGUCUUAUUAGUUUUUAUGUAGAGAAAUGCACG